GAGCCAGCUCAGCCCAGCGGUUCCAUCGACCAACGCGUUGCUUGGAUCCCCCCGAUCGCUUCCAGCGGUUUGAGACCCGCGGGCGCUGCCUGGCUUUUUU
Podarcis muralis (Common wall lizard) is the source of this 100-nucleotide vault RNA. Its record names the gene Vault. It matches the Rfam family "Vault RNA". From Rfam's summary of the family: This family of RNAs are found as part of the enigmatic vault ribonucleoprotein complex. The complex consists of a major vault protein (MVP), two minor vault proteins (VPARP and TEP1), and several small untranslated RNA molecules. The record is from Ensembl. Lineage: Eukaryota; Metazoa; Chordata; Lepidosauria; Squamata; Lacertidae.